This 439-nucleotide ribosomal RNA is filed under the name uncultured bacterium. Its description in RNAcentral is "bacterial SSU rRNA". It matches the Rfam family "Bacterial small subunit ribosomal RNA", at positions 8 to 448 of the family's 1533-position model. The record is from RNAcentral.
AGAGUUUGAUCCUGGCUCAGGACGAACGCUGGCGGCGUGCCUAACACAUGCAAGUCGAGCGAUGAAAUCCUUCGGGAUGGAUUAGCGGCGGACGGGUGAGUAACACGUGGGUAACCUGCCUCAAAGAGGGGAAUAGCCUUCCGAAAGGAAGAUUAAUACCGCAUAAUAUGUUUUGGUCGCAUGACUAGAACAUCAAAGGAGCAAUCCGCUUUGAGAUGGACCCGCGGCGCAUUAGCUAGUUGGUGAGGUAACGGCUCACCAAGGCGACGAUGCGUAGCCGACCUGAGAGGAUGAUCAGCCACACUGGAACUGAGACACGGUCCAGACUCCUACGGGAGGCAGCAGUGGGGAAUAUUGCACAAUGGGCGAAAGCCUGAUGCAGCAACGCCGCGUGAGCGAUGAAGGCCUUUGGGUCGUAAAGCUCUGUCCUUGGGGAAGA